GUCUUCUGACAGCUCUUGUUGUUUUUCUCAUCGACAUUUCCAUUUUAACAUUUAGUAGCCAAAAGGGUCCAAGUCCCCUUGAUCUCGCAAGAACGUACUGCCAGAAUUACGUUGAUCCACCAGGUUUUGAAGUAAAAACCGUCAAUGAUGUCAUAGCAUUGACGCUACCAACGAUAUAUUUCAUGAGGGUCGAAUGAUAAAUGAUGCCGAAAAUGGAGACGCAAAACAAAAUUGUGUAAUGAAAAUAGUUGAAGUCAACCAAACUCCCCAUCUAUGCACUUUCGCCGACAGAGACAUUGCAAUUGGCGAGGAACUCCGAUAUGAUUAUGGAGUACCAACACUUCCAUGGAGAAAGGCAACACAAUGACUACUAGAUCUACGGACAGCCAGGAACCAGGACAAACAACAUCC
Molecule: long non-coding RNA, 411 nt
Organism: Dreissena polymorpha
Lineage: Eukaryota; Metazoa; Mollusca; Bivalvia; Myida; Dreissenidae
Exons: 3
Source: RefSeq, a predicted model, not a curated record